ACGGGUGAAAAUGUCUGGCAUACUGGGUGACGGAGGGGGAUAACUACUGGAAACGGUAGCUAAUACAGCAUAAGGUCGCCUGACCUAUGUGGGGGACCGUCGGGCCUCUUGCCAUCGGAUGUGCCCUGAUGUUAUUAGCGAGUAGGUGGGGUAACGGCUCACCUAGGCGACGAUCCCUAUCUGGUCUGAGAGGGUGACCACUAACACUGGAACUGAGAUGAACCCCAGACUCCUACCGGAGGCAGCAAUGGGGAAUAUUGCUAAUGGGUGCACGCCUGAUUCACCCAUGCCGCGUGUAUGAUUAAGGCCUUCGGUUUGUUAAGAACUUUCAUUGAUCAGUCGAAACUAUAUCAACAAUUCAGACACAGAUUGACAGGCCGGUUUACUAAACCACAGCUAACACGUGCCACAAGGUCGCCAGUACGUAGCUGGCUAUUGUUCUUCUGAGGCAUUUAAUGUCAAAGAAAGUAGGCUGUUAGGUUAGACUGUCCUAAAAGAACGGGCUUUGCCCCUAUCUGCUUAUGGAACUUGAAAAGUGAAUAGUAUUUAAUAGUAAAGAGGAGUAGUUCGUAUACCUUUUAAAGUAGGGACAAUGUUUAGACAAACUUACUGGACAAAAGGGAACUCCAGAGCGACAACUGACUCUUAGGCUGCAACAUUGGGUCCCCAGACUGCAUGACUACCCCAAAAUUACUACCCG
RNAcentral lists this ribosomal RNA (700 nucleotides) under uncultured bacterium. RNAcentral describes it as "partial 16S ribosomal RNA". The stretch from base 1 to 444 matches the Rfam family "Bacterial small subunit ribosomal RNA", at positions 102 to 546 of the family's 1533-position model. The record is from RNAcentral.